AUCGCUUCUCGGCCUUUUGGCUAAGAUCAAGUGUAGUAUCUGUUCUUAUCAGUUUAAUUAGGGUAUGAUUAUUUGUCGAGACAUGCUACAGAGAACAUCCACAUACACAAAAACACCUU
This 119-nucleotide small nuclear RNA is filed under the name Podarcis muralis (Common wall lizard). Its description in RNAcentral is "U2 spliceosomal RNA (ENSPMRG00000016598.1)". The stretch from base 1 to 103 matches the Rfam family "U2 spliceosomal RNA". Rfam says of the family: U2 is a small nuclear RNA (snRNA) component of the spliceosome (involved in pre-mRNA splicing). Complementary binding between U2 snRNA (in an area lying towards the 5' end but 3' to hairpin I) and the branchpoint sequence (BPS) of the intron results the bulging out of an unpaired adenosine, on the BPS, which initiates a nucleophilic attack at the intronic 5' splice site, thus starting the first of two transesterification reactions that mediate splicing. The record is from RNAcentral. Lineage: Eukaryota; Metazoa; Chordata; Lepidosauria; Squamata; Lacertidae.